This 594-nucleotide ribosomal RNA is filed under the name Citrobacter freundii. Its description in RNAcentral is "partial 23S ribosomal RNA". It matches the Rfam family "Bacterial large subunit ribosomal RNA", at positions 911 to 1507 of the family's 2925-position model. The record is from RNAcentral. Lineage: Bacteria; Pseudomonadati; Pseudomonadota; Gammaproteobacteria; Enterobacterales; Enterobacteriaceae.
UGUUUCGGCUAGGGGGUCAUCCCGACUUACCAACCCGAUGCAAACUGCGAAUACCGAAGAAUGUUAUCACGGGAGACACACGGCGGGUGCUAACGUCCGUCGUGAAGAGGGAAACAACCCAGACCGCCAGCUAAGGUCCCAAAGUCACAGUUAAGUGGGAAACGAUGUGGGAAGGCACAGACAGCCAGGAUGUUGGCUUAGAAGCAGCCAUCAUUUAAAGAAAGCGUAAUAGCUCACUGGUCGAGUCGGCCUGCGCGGAAGAUGUAACGGGGCUAAACUGUGCACCGAAGCUGCGGCAGCGACACUAUGUGUUGUUGGGUAGGGGAGCGUUCUGUAAGCCGUUGAAGGUGUCCUGUGAGGGGUGCUGGAGGUAUCAGAAGUGCGAAUGCUGACAUAAGUAACGAUAAUGCGGGUGAAAAACCCGCACGCCGGAAGACCAAGGGUUCCUGUCCAACGUUAAUCGGGGCAGGGUGAGUCGACCCCUAAGGCGAGGCCGAAAGGCGUAGUCGAUGGGAAACAGGUUAAUAUUCCUGUACUUGGUGUUACUGCGAAGGGGGGACGGAGAAGGCUAUGUUAGCCGGGCGACGGUUGUCC